GGUCUUGUCUGCCUCCGCCGCCUUCCUGCCAGUCUAGCACUUUCUCACCCAGGGAGGCCUAGAACGCGAGCCGCAUUCGCCCCCGGCCCUGACCCCAGGCGCGACUCCAGAGCCUCCCGAGUGGGGCCGGUCUUCCGAGUGGACGGUUAGGCCACGGGUAUUCAAGCGCUGCGAGUUCGCCCGCCUUAUUGCAGCGGCCAGGCCUAAAGGGCUCGGCCACCGCUGAACUACAUUUCCCAGCAGGCAACGCGGCCUCAGUUUCGCUUCCAAAAGGAGGAAGCUAUUCCCCAUGUCAUGAGGACCCCGUGGAGACAGCCAUGUGGUGAGGAACUCAGCCUCCUGCCAGCAGUCAGCACCCACUUGCCAGCCUUUCAUGGAGGCAUUUGUUGAAAUGGAGUUGCCAAAGAUUGAAGAGAUGUAGAUUGCUGACCCACUGCAUGAAGGCAGUUGCCCUACAGAGUCACUUGGACCUGCACUGGCUUGGUAUAAAUCCCUCCAGCACCUACUGCUCUCAAAUCCCAAGGAUCGACAGGCUGUGUCUUUGUAUCUAAGUUUGGAAAGAACCCAGCUCUAUGAGGUUUGAUCUAUUUUGUUUGUGGAUGAGAAAGCAAGCACAAGGCGUAAAGUGGCCAAGGUGACAUGACCAUGAAUUAUCAGAAUCCAGA
Molecule: non-coding RNA, 665 nt
Filed under: Pongo abelii (Sumatran orangutan)
Lineage: Eukaryota; Metazoa; Chordata; Mammalia; Primates; Hominidae
Source: RNAcentral